Molecule: ribosomal RNA, 465 nt
Filed under: Vreelandella stevensii
Lineage: Bacteria; Pseudomonadati; Pseudomonadota; Gammaproteobacteria; Oceanospirillales; Halomonadaceae
Description: partial 16S ribosomal RNA
Rfam family: Bacterial small subunit ribosomal RNA
Source: RNAcentral
CCUACGGGAGGCAGCAGUGGGGAAUAUUGGACAAUGGGCGAAAGCCUGAUCCAGCCAUGCCGCGUGUGUGAAGAAGGCCUUCGGGUUGUAAAGCACUUUCAGUGGGGAAGAAAGCCUUGGGGCUAAUACCCUCGAGGAAGGACAUCACCCACAGAAGAAGCACCGGCUAACUCCGUGCCAGCAGCCGCGGUAAUACGGAGGGUGCGAGCGUUAAUCGGAAUUACUGGGCGUAAAGCGCGCGUAGGCGGUCUGAUAAGCCGGUUGUGAAAGCCCCGGGCUCAACCUGGGAACGGCAGCCGGAACUGUCAGGCUAGAGUGCAGGAGAGGAAGGUAGAAUUCCCGGUGUAGCGGUGAAAUGCGUAGAGAUCGGGAGGAAUACCAGUGGCGAAGGCGGCCUUCUGGACUGACACUGACGCUGAGGUGCGAAAGCGUGGGUAGCAAACAGGAUUAGAUACCCUGGUAGUC